RNAcentral lists this ribosomal RNA (244 nucleotides) under uncultured bacterium. RNAcentral describes it as "partial 16S ribosomal RNA". It matches the Rfam family "Bacterial small subunit ribosomal RNA", at positions 15 to 253 of the family's 1533-position model. The record is from RNAcentral.
GAUCCUGGCUCAGAUUGAACGCUGGCGGCAGGCCUAACACAUGCAAGUCGAACGGUAACAGGAAGCAGCUUGCUGCUUUGCUGACGAGUGGCGGACGGGUGAGUAAUGUCUGGGAAACUGCCUGAUGGAGGGGGGAUAACUACUGGAAACGGUAGCUAAUACCGCAUAACGUCGCAAGACCAAANAGGGGGACCUUCGGCCGUCUUGCCAUCGGAUGUGCCCACGAUGGGAUUAGCUAGUAGGG